Molecule: ribosomal RNA, 179 nt
Filed under: bacterium enrichment culture clone gang 6
Lineage: Bacteria
Description: partial 16S ribosomal RNA
Rfam family: Bacterial small subunit ribosomal RNA
Source: RNAcentral
CCUACGGGAGGCAGCAGUAGGGAAUCUUGCGCAAUGGGCGCAAGUCUGAGGGAGCAACGCCGCGUGAGUGAAGAAGGUUUUUGGAUCGUAAAGCUCUGUUGCCAAGGAAGAACGCCUUGGGGAGAAACUGCCCUGAGGGUGACGGUACUUGAGAAGAAAGCCCCGGCUAACUACGUGCC